CGGACGAACGCUGGCGGCGUGCCUAAAAACAUGCAAGUCGAACGGUCCGAUUGAAAGAUUGGAUAGUGGCGGACGGGUGAGUAACACGUGAGCAACCUGGCUUAAAGAGGGGGAUAACGCAGGGAAACCUGUGCUAAUACCGCAUAAAAUGUAUUGACCGCAUGGGCGAUACAUCAAAGGAGAAAUCCGCUUUAAGAUGGGCUCGCGUCCGAUUAGAUAGUUGGCGGGGUAACAGCCCACCAAGUCUACGAUCGGUAGCCGGACUGAGAGGUCGAACGGCCACAUUGGGACUGAGAUACGGCCCAGACUCCUACGGGAGGCAGCAGUUGGGGAUAUUAGGCAAUGGGGGAAACCCUGACCUAGCAACGCCGCGUGAAGGAAGAAGGUCUUCGGAUUGUAAACUUCUUUGACGAGGGAAGAAUAAUGACGGUACCUCGAAAACAAGCCACGGCUAACUACGUG
Molecule: ribosomal RNA, 462 nt
Filed under: uncultured bacterium
Lineage: Bacteria
Description: bacterial SSU rRNA
Rfam family: Bacterial small subunit ribosomal RNA
Source: RNAcentral